This 82-nucleotide transfer RNA is filed under the name Azospira oryzae. RNAcentral describes it as "tRNA-Leu". It matches the Rfam family "tRNA". Rfam says of the family: Transfer RNA (tRNA) molecules are approximately 80 nucleotides in length. Their secondary structure includes four short double-helical elements and three loops (D, anti-codon, and T loops). Further hydrogen bonds mediate the characteristic L-shaped molecular structure. tRNAs have two regions of fundamental functional importance: the anti-codon, which is responsible for specific mRNA codon recognition, and the 3' end, to which the tRNAs corresponding amino acid is attached (by aminoacyl-tRNA synthetases). tRNAs cope with the degeneracy of the genetic code in two manners: having more than one tRNA (with a specific anti-codon) for a particular amino acid; and 'wobble' base-pairing, i.e. permitting non-standard base-pairing at the 3rd anti-codon position. The record is from RNAcentral. Lineage: Bacteria; Pseudomonadati; Pseudomonadota; Betaproteobacteria; Rhodocyclales; Rhodocyclaceae. RNAcentral also lists the same sequence under 1 other name.
GCGAGAGUGGCGGAAUUGGUAGACGCACUGGAUUUAGGUUCCAGCGCCGCAAGGCGUGGGGGUUCGAGUCCCUUCUCUCGCA